UGAAUACCAGUUGAUUGCUUAACAAAUUUGCCCUUCUCUAGGCGGGAUGCCCUCCUUGUCGAGUCACCCCUCUUAUCACUGCCGUGGUCCUCCGCUCUAUCAUGACUUAGCAUUUGGUUAUCAGCGGGUACGUCGGGUGCCAUGGUUGCGCAAGCACACAUACCGACAAGCUUAGCACUAUGUGGAGGCUUUUUGCGUGCUCCUCACAGACGACGCCAAUUGUUUGUGGCUGAUUUUGGGUUAACGAAAUAAAAUCACAAAACCAAGCCAAGAACAAUAAAUUUAUUUUUAUUGGGGAGCGGGGUGCCUCACUUGUUCGGCGCGUGCAGGUUGUUUAGGCUUUUUGUGGAGAGAAUGAGGAUUGAGAUGGCAGUGGAUAUGGAAGGUGUCAGACUUUAGGUGUGGAGGGCUGGUGAAACUCGCCUUAAACCUGCGAAACAACUAAAAAAGAAGUCAAAGGUGGAGCCGGGGAUGACCGGCGACCACGCUCCGACGCUCAAGUCAGAGUUGGGUUAUCUCAGGUUAGAGAGCUUGCAAGUCAGAGUUGGGUUAUCCGCCGAAUUCAGAAUGGUACGAGGCUUUACAAGAGGCCUUAGGGUGCAUUUCUAAGAGCCACAGCAUAGCCCCACCCAAAAAUACUGCCCUGAAGGUCGGGAUGCCAAAAGGCCCCAGGGGCUCCAAGACGGGUGGGCAUAGCCUUAGUGAGAGGCACGAGCGAAGUUCGUCCGCCGGACUCGGAAUGGGGCGAGGCUUUACGAGAGAUCUCGGUGUGCCCAUGGAGAGUCGAGGGCACAGCCGCGCCCAAAAAUAGUGCUCCAAGGUCGGGAUGCCAAAAAGGCCCCAGGGGCCCCAAAACGGGUGGGCUAUAGCCUUGGGGGGGUGCGGGCGAAGUUCGUCCGCCGGACUCGGAAUGGGGUGAGGCUUUGCGAGGGGCCUCGAUGUGCCCACGGGGAGUCGCGGUAAUAGCCGCGCCCAAAAAUAGCGCCCCAAGUUCGGAGUGCCAAAAAGGCUCCAAAGGCCUCGAGACGAGUGGGCUAUAGCCUUUGUGAGGAGCGCGGGUGAAGUUUGUCCGCCGGAUUUGGAAUUGGUCGAGACUUUGCGAGGGGCCUUGGUGUGCUCGCGGGAGUUGCGGGCAUGGCCGCGCUAAAAAUAAGCCUGAUUAUGAGUAGGGGUGGGCAAAAUACCCGACCUGACCUGACCUGACCUGACCUCACCCGAUCCGACCCGAAAAAUUUCGGGUUCGGAUCGGAUCGGGUUGCUAAUAUAACCCGAUCAGAUGAAAUAUUACAAACCCGAUCGGGUUGUGAUCGGAUAGGAUAAAACCCGAUCUGAUCCGAAAACCCGAUCGGGUUGCUUUAAAAAAAAAUUCUACAGCCAAACGCCCAAACACACGCACACGGCACACAACACACCACACAUAAUCACACAAAUCACUGAAAUCACAUACUCAAAAGGUUACACUUUACAGUUUACACAAACACAAAACACACAAAAACAAAAAAAUCACAACACCCAACCCGUGAACCCACCCUCAAGAAGCAAGAAAACAUUCUCUCCUUCCCCCAAUCUGCUGCUGCCGUGUUGCGAGUCCGGCCAUCUGCUGCUGCGUCAGCGAUCUGCUGCCGCCGUGUUGCGUCCAGCCAUCGCGAGGAAACUGCUGCACGCCCACCGAUCUGCUGCCGUAAACCCAGCCGCCGAUCUGCUGCUCCAAGGCUCAAGCUCCAACCCGACCCGAGUUUCUCCUUUAGUCCCUUAUGUGUUUUGAAUUUUGAAGCUUUCAUGGUGUAUUGGUAUAUAUGUUUUGAAUUGACCCGUUUUUAUCAACCCGAAUUGGUUUAACUUGACCCGAAUUCAAUAUGAUCCAUUUUUAAUCCGAACCGAUUCAACCCGAAUUCAACCCGAUUUUUGACCUGAUCCGAACCGAUCCGAAUAUAUAUCGGAUCGGAUCGGGUCGGGUUGUAAAUUCGAGUUGUAUUCGGAUCAAUGUUUGCACAACCCGAAUAACCCGAAACCUGAUCGGGUUGACCCGAACUCCACCCGAAUCCGAUUUUGCCCACCCCUAAUUAUGAGUUAGCCUUGGUAGGGCCCGCGGCAACCCCCGGAAGUCCCGCCGGAAAUCACGCCAGAAGGAGUCCAUCCGAGAGGAAAGAAAAAGAAAAAAGAAAAAAAAAGAGGAAAAAGAGUCCAGCCGAGAGGGAAGAGAAAAAAAAAAAAAGAGGAAGAGGGGAGUUGACUGAAAGAAGAAAAAAGAAAAGAGAAAGAUAAGAAAGAGAAGAAAUAAACUAUUAAUUAUAAAAUAUAAUAUGAAGUAGGUUAUUUAACACAAAUCAAAUAAAUAAAUUCCAAUUGUAAAAUUAAUGAUAUAUAAUAUAACACUAAUAAAUAACACAACUAAAUACAUAUACGUAAGUGAAUAUCAUAGGUACAUCAAUAAACUCAUUGGUGAGAUUGCUUGUAACCUAAAAAAUACUUGAUUACACAUAUUUUAAUAAAAUUUAAUAUCUUAUAUCAAAAUACUCAUUAUUUUAUAUAAUAUUAAGGACCAUUGAAUAAUUGAUAAUAAAAUAUAUAUUAUUAUUAACACUCAUUUAACAUAUAUAUUCUCUGAAUUUUUUGUUCAGGAUUUCUUUAUAAUACUUUAUGAGUUUUUACAACAUUGAUAAUAGGAUUGUUGUGGACUCUUGGAUGUUAGGGUUUUCAUGUUUACCAUUCAUUUGAUACAGUGAAUACAAAAUUAGCUAUUUAAAUCAUAACAAGUAAUCUUCAUGUUGCACGUAAAUAUAGAUUUUUAUAUUUUUAAUUAAUUGAUAAAAGAAAUUUUAUAUUAUAAUAAAUAAAAAUCUCACAAUCGAUGAUGGGAUCAUUGGAUUUAAUAUUAGAAUCUUCGCCCUUAAUUUAAUUUUAAUGGAUAAGUAAUUAUGCAACAAGUAAUCUGCAAGUUGUGAUAUUUCUUCAUAUUUUAAAUUAUUUUAUAUCUAAUCAAUUGAUGAAUAUUUUAAAUCAUCAAAAAAUGAAAGAAAUACAAGUAAUUUUGGAAUUAAAAUUAUUAUGUAUUAAUUCUCUUACUUUACAAUUUUACAUUUUUUUUUUACUUUUACAUUUAGUAUUAGAAAUAUAUUUAGUAGCAUUAAAAUAAAUGUAAUUAACAAGUAAUAUUAUUUGAAUAAUACUUUAUAUGAAGAUAUUACAUAAAGUAUUAUAAUAAUUUGUAUUGUAUGAAUUCAAUUACAAACUAUUAAUACCUAAACAAUAAUGAUAAUAGAAGGCAUUGUAAUAAAAUAUUUUAUAUAUGUUUUAUUAGUAAUACUAUGAGUCACAACAAAUGAUAAAUAUUUUAGUCACUAAUGAAAAAUAUAUAUGGCUAUAUAAAUAUAUAGUGAGAAAUAUUUUGAUUUAAAUUUUUAACAAAAAAUUAAACUAUUAAUUUCAUGCAAUUGAAUGGUGGAGGAUAUGACAUUAUGAAAUUAUGCUUUGACUUUCAAUAUUAACCAUUAGACUAUGAGAUAUUAAUGACUCAAAUAUUGCGUCAAAAUUUUAAGUUAAAGUAUCCUAAACCAUGUCUUUAUAAUGGAAAUAUAAAAACAUACAAUUAAUUUUUCUCAUUUUGUCAUUAAAUAUUAUUGGAUGUAAUAUUUUAUUUAUUGUCACUAUUACUUAUCAUAAUAAAAGCAAUGGCUCUUAGUAACAUAAAAAUUUUACAAUUACAGUCAAAGAAUAACGAUAGAAUAAUCUUUUAUGAUUUAUAAACUAAAGUUAAUUAGGAAUAUAUGUUAGAUUAAAUUUUUAUGGAAUUAAUAAAGUGACAUUUGAAAAUAAAAUGAAAACAAGCUUGUGAAAGUUAAAGUUUAUAAGGCUCGGAUAAUUUUCUACCAUGUAAAUAAAAAUAUAAAAAUAUAAAAAGAUUUUCUUUCCCAAUUUUUCCACAUAAAUAUUCUUGAAGGCAAUAUUUUAUUCAUUGUCAAUAGUAAUUACCAUAAUAAAAGUAACAACUCUUAUAACAUAAAUUUUAUUAUUACAAUCAAAGGAUGUCAAUAAAAUAAUGUUUCAUGAUUCAUAAACUAAAGCUCAUUAGGAAUAUAUAUUAGAUUUAACUUUUAUGAAAUUAAUAAAGUGAUGUUUGAAAUAAAAUGAAAAUAUAUAGACUUGUAAAACUUAAAAUUCCUAUCAUGUAAGAAUAUUAAUUAUAAGAUAAACAAAAAGUUCAAAGAAUAGGUACAUUAAAUGGGUGUUAAAAAUAAUAUAUACUCCGUGAUCAAUUAUACAAUGGUCCUUAGUAUUAUAUAAAAUAAUGAGAAUUUUAAUAUGCGAUUUUAAAUUUUAUUACAACAUGAGUGAUCAAGUAGUUUUUAGGUUAUAAGCAAUCUCACUAAUGGGUUUAUUGAUGUGAGUAUGACGUUUACUAAAGUAUAUGUACUUAGUUGUGUUAUUUAUUAGUGUUAUAUCAUAUAUAAAUUUUGCAAUUAUAAUUUAUUUAUUUGAUUUGUAUUAAAUAACCUAUUUCAUAUUAUAUUGUAUACUUAUUGGUAAUAGAUUUUGGAAAAUUUAUUUAUAAAAAAUUAUCACGAUACAAAUUUAAAGGAGACUUGAAAAGUAAUUAUAAAUAAAAUAUGCUAUUUAAGUGAAAUUACUUUAAACUCUAAGGGUAGUCACAAUUAUUUUACAAACAUUUCUCCACCUCUUGAACGGUUGACAAAUCGUUUAACAUUAUUUUUAAUUUUUUUCUUUAGCAAAAAAUUGUAUACCAUUAGAUUUAAUCCAAUGGUGCACAAUUAAAAUAUUAGUAAUAUUUAAAAAAAAUUACAGCAUCAUAGAGGAACCCUUAAAAUAAAAUCUCUGCUAAAUAAUAGUCCCCAAGUCCACAGAUCAUGAACAGGUUAGCCUCCAGUCUUGCCUCCAAAGUCAGGUACCGUCUUUCUGAAUUUCUCUCUGUUGAUAGUUCGGAAGAUCUAUCUUUUAUUUGUUUUGAACUUCUGACUUUGUUUAUUACCUGUUUCUGUUUUUUUUCCCCAACGUCAAUGGCAGGGUGGCUAAGAACAUUAUCCCGCCGGCUAAAAACAGUAUCCGGCUGGUGAGACUGUCCUGUUUUCUUCUAUAUAUUCUCUCUGUUAUUUAUUUUCAAUCUCUCUCAAGAGUUGCUAUUUGGUUCGUGGCUUAUAUAUUUAUGGAAAAUUGUCGUACGUAUUCUGUAUCAGGUUGGAAGUAGAUUAAGUUGGGGCAGAAACUACGUUUCUGGUAGCGAAGAAAUCCCUUAUAAUGCCAAACUCAUGAACUGGCCUAUAGUGAGUCACUCAUCCUGUAAAAGUUUAACCUUUUUUUUUUUUGUUCUUCUUUAUAUUAAUUGGUGCUGUGUUUUGUGUCUGAUUUGCUGUAAUUUUGAGCGAAAAUUUUAUUUGAAAACUUUUAAAGGAGUAUUUGAAAUCAAAGUGCAUGUUUUGGGAGUGCUUGUUAGACAAGUUAUUAUGUAGCAAAUUAAAAAUAGUAUAGCAAAACAGCCUAACUGCCGGCGAUCGCAACACCGCAUCAAACGGCUACAAACUGAGUUUCAACACCGUCUUUGAAGAGAUUGGCGGCAUUCAACCAUAAUUCUGGUGGUUUUCGCAGCCAAGCUUGCCACCGUGUAGCAGCGGUGGCCGUGAGUUAAGAGAGGCUUUUUUUACUCCACCAUGCCUCCAAUGCCAGCGAAAUUCAUGCCCUUUUGAAAUUUGUGAUCCUUUGAUCUUUGACAAUGACGACUUUUUUAUUGUUUUAUAUAAAUAUUUAAGAAUUGAAUUAGUUUAUUUAUUUAAUAUCUUUUUUAGAAGGGAAUUAGUUUAUUGAUGGAAAGAUGAAUUGGUGUAUAUUUUUUAAUAAGUAAUUAAUAAAUAUAUUUAAAAUUAUUAUUUCCUUUUAUACAUAUAACUAAAUUUUUGUACAUUUUAGUCAUUAUGCAUUAACAGCCCCCCAAUUUUAGGGCUAAUUUACCAAAUAUAUCUAACAAAUUAUUAUAGAGUUGAUUGUCUCAUAAUCUAAAUUUAGCAAACGUGUUUGAAAUUUUUUCUAAAGCUGAUUAUUUCGAAAUCUAACACAAUGGUGAUUGCUUGGGAAUCCAAUGCAAUCCCAAACUUGGCCUAAGACUUGUUACAACAGUAUCUCUGCUUGUUGUUUGCUCCUCUUCAAUAAUGUUGGGUUCUUUUGAGAUGCCUGUUAAUGUCAUUGGAUAUUGGUGUUGCAGGAUCGUGAUGUUACAGGAGAGGGUUUUGCUACAGUUGGCAAAAUUGCAAAAUGCGGGCACAAAACUGAUGCCAACCUUGCAUGUGAUACGGUGGAAGAAGGUGUCUGGCUGACCGCAUUAGGUUAUUCGGAUGAGCGUGGUGAGGGUUUUGAUAGUCAAGGUAUGUACCGACAAACUAUAUUAAUUGGAAAAUGGUUGUCUUAGAUGUAAGCUGCUAUUUCGCUGGUGGAAUCUCCUAAGGAUGGGCUUGAUUACUCAUUUGAAGUUUGAUUAUGUUUGUUUGCACUUUGCAGUCUUAAAAUAUAGGCCUAUCCUGACUUAUACCUUGGACGAUGCCUUGAGAAGUGAAGGAUUCGAGGCAGUCAAAGCAGGAAUGAGUGCUGAUCUAAUAAUUGGAGAAAUUUAUGAAGCAGUUUGGAGAGUUUGUCAAUACUUACGUCGCAUAGCACGACCGGUCAGCGGAUACGGAGAAAUCGUCCAGGUUUAUUACUUACUGAAUAUUGCUUUGUUUAGGAGUUGGGAGGAUUAUAAUAUGGACAAUGGAUAGAAGUUGUUUAAUUUUAAUGGAUAGUAAGGUCAUUUAUUUUGAUAUGCCUGCAAACUAUUUUUUUUUUUUUUUCCUCUAUAAAGGUUGCGACAGCUGCAGCAAAUGGAGACAAAAAGACUGGGGAGUGGGUAGCCAAGGCUGUUGAGAAACUUGGAAUAGGUGGUUUAUUUUUUUUAGAUGUAAGUUGCUUGUUCUAUUUAUGACAUUCUUCUGUUUUGAGCCAUCUUGGUUUGAGAUUGCUUUGGCAUGGUGUUCCACUUGUAAUUUACCUUUCUUUUUCUUUUUUUUUCCUUUAUCAUUUUACAAAACUUUGUCAUUGAUUUAAAGUUUUACAAGAUUCUGUUUUGCUAUUAAAUUUAACUCUUUUCAAUUAAUGGUAUUUUUGACCAAUUCCGUGACCCGGGGUUAUCUUUAAUAUUAAGACAUACCUUAGGACGAAGUGGGACGUGACAAGUAACAUGUUACAUGUGCUUUACUUCUGCUUAAUUCUCUUCUCCUUCGCAUGAAUCAUUUUUUUUUACUUCACAGUCUUAUUUGUUUCAUUAACCCCUUACAUAGAAAAAUUUGGGUCAUUCAAAAAUCUUAGAAGCCGAGACAAAUUUGUUGCAGGGGAAGAGAAGAUGGAAGACUAGAUUAGAGUAUAUUCAGGCAAUGAAAGUAGAUUGGGGCUUUGUGUCCCCUUCCUUCAUCACCAAUAUGAAUUCUGCAACAUGUGUAAGUACUUCAAUAAAUCACUGUACUUCUUUUUUAUGGCUACGUUUGGUACGUAGGGAAUCAAUUAACAAGAAGCGCGCUUGUUUUACCAAAAAUGUAUAAAGUUGUCUUUCUUCGACUUAAUGCAGCUAUUGUUUUGUUUUUGCUAGAGUUUGAGAAAUCCAUUCAUUUUAAUCCAUGCGAAUAAAAUUUUGACUGAGGAUGUUGUAAAGCAAGCAAUUAGACCGGUAUGCGAGAGUGUUUUUUGCGGAAAUGAGAAGCUUUAGUUUAUUUACUUACAAAUUAACUGAAUCUUUUUUUUCCCCUUUUCUUUUCGGUAGAGACGACCUCUAUUGAUUGUAGCCGAGGAUGUAGAAACGGAGCUGGUCAGAUCUCUGAGACGGUCUUAUCGUGGGAAAUCAAAGGUUUUCUUAUCAAAAUAGAAGAAUAUGAGAAUUAGAUAGGGCACAAGAAUUCACAUAGUUCCUCCUGAGAUCUGCAUUCACAAGUGAAGCCGGCUUAGGAAAUUUUACAGAUAUAAAACUAAAUUACAAUUGAACACAUGAGUGUAUAGGUUACAAAUAAAAGACUUGCUUAAUUUUACAUAUCAUGCAUUUACUUUUAGUUUUACAGAAGCUCGUUUUAUUAAUUUGGGUUUAUGAAUUGAAGCUUUGUGUUGUCAAACCUCCAAAAUGUGAACAUAAUGGAAAGGCAAUCAUGCAGGACCUUGCGGUCUUCACUGGAGGCGAGGUGGGUUCAAUUGGUAGUUAGUGUUCCCACCAGUUUUGCAUUACUUAUGUAAUUCGCAAACCAAUGUCAUACUAUCUUUUCACUUUUAGGUUGUAACUGGCGAAUCAAAUAUGAACUUUGUACCACAAAUGCUUGGUUCAUGCAAAGAGGUGAGACAUGUAAUGUGCGAAUUGUUUUUGCUGUAUAAGUCCUUGCCCUAGAUCAUUUCAAUUGUCAAGGGCAUGUUUUGUUGAAAUAGGAUAUAUUUUAGCCAUUUCCACCAUUGCAGGUCAAGGUGUCACAGGAUGAGAUGGUUAUCGUUGGUGGGUCUGGUGGCCAAGAAGACAUUGAAGAAAGACGUAAGGAGGUUGGUUGUGGCUCUUUUUGACAUGUUUUGCAACAAUUUUCAGACUUUUUCGUUUGUGUUCAUUUGUUAUUUGAAAUUAUUCGGUACUUCUGUUAUUUUUGUUUCAGUUAAAAUUCUCAAUUAUGUCGAGCACUUCAAAUGAUGAAUUAAAGUUAUUAGAAAAGAGGCUUGCAAAGUUUUCUUGUGAAGUGGCUUAUUUUAAGGUUUGUUUGUGUGAAGUUGUGUUUUAUUCUAGCAUCUUAGCCGUACGAAACAUACAGUCCUUUGUUGAAAACAUAUUUAAUAGAGACUGUUUUUAUGUAAGGUUGGUGGUGAUAGUUGUGCCGAAGUGUUCAAAUAUGGUUGUAGAGUUUACAAUGCCAUAACUGCCUCCUUGGCUGCACUUGAUGGAGGAAUUGUAGCUGGUAAGCCUUAUAUUUUUAGAAUUUUGUGUGGUCGACCUUGUUCGGUUCAUGAAUCACAUUUUGAUAUUCUGAUGAAUUUGUAGGUGGCGGGGUUGCACUUCUUCAUGCGUCGAAGGAGCUAGAGAAAUUGCACACUUCGUGGUAUAAUGAAAAAAAAAACUAAAUAAUAGGAUGCUUGGUGUUCACCUUGUACAGAAAGCUCUCAAGGUAUUUGUCAUUUUCUUUGCAUACUAUUUUUCAAUUGUUUGCUUUUUCAAAUCUUACUGGUCAAUACUACUCAGGCAUCAGCUUCCUAACAAAUUUGAGGUUGCGUGUAUAGGCACCUGUGUGCUCAAUUGCUCAUGCUGCUGGAUUUGACUAUUCAGUUGUUGUUGAGAAGCUACUGGAGCAGGACAAUCCUGACCUUGGAUAUGAUCCGGCUAAAGGUUUGUUUUAAUAAGUAAAAAUAGAAACAAAAACUUGAGAGUUAUUUUGUGUUGUUCCCAAUGUGCAUUGAGUUGGGUGAGACUGCUCUCAUCAUAGUCUUUUUUUUUAUUUUUCACCAGGUGAAUUUAUCGAUCUGAUCGAGUGUGGAAAUGUUGAUGCGGCACUAUUGGUAGGCUUUGAAUUAAAUGAUGUCGCAUGAUAACUAGUUUAACCUCUUCAAUAUCUUAGUAAAUUUAUGUUAUUGCUAUGUACAUCAAGCUCAGUUCACAGACCCUCAAGAGGUGUCGUCCAUUUUCCAUUUUAUGUGACGGUAAUUUCUACUAAGCUUAUGUUAGUUCUCUAAUUAAGCAAAUACCAAUUAUUGUUUGUGUAGGCAUUCUAAUUGUAACUUUGGUACAAGAUGCUUAGAGCUCCAGUCCUCGAAGGGAACACAGACGGAAAAGGAGGCUUGCGAUCUUGCCAACGAAUGUUCCUUGGCAUGAUAUUUUUGUAUUCUUAUUUAUUAAUUUAUCUAGAUUCAAAUCUCUAAGAUAAUAACAUUUAUCGUAUUAUGCUAGCUUAGAUCGUUAAGGCUGCCGUUGGAGACAACAGUCUGUGAAAUAACAUGGGUAUUUUUAUUUUUAUUCUUUUAAUUAUUAUUUUUUUAACCUUUCACACACAUGACAGCCUACUAUAUCAAAACUAAACUCUAUCACUAUAUUACCACUAUGUCAUAAGUCAAAUUAACAACACAAAUCAUUCAAUAAAAUGCCAAGUAAACCAAAGCAAGCUGGAUGCCUAUUAACAAAACUCCGUUGUGAAUCAAAAUCUAAUGCAAUAAGGAACUGCUUAGUUGAUAAUACCCUUUUGUUCUUUGUUUAGUUGAUCUUAAUUCUGUUUCUUUUCGUCUAAACUUGUUACGGAGAUCUGGAUUAAGGUUGUUUCAAUUGAACUGAAUCCAAGAAGGUCUUAAUUCUGGUGCGUACAACUUGUACUGAUCUUGUGAAUAAUCUUGAGCAUCGAUUGAUCUUAUAAGUCGUCUAAGCAGAUCAAUCACUACAAAGGUUUAUGGUAAAGUUCGUUUAGUUUAGCUAUUCCGUUCAUUUUAUACAAUGGUUGAAUAAUUUCAUUGUAAAAGAACUGUAUAGUCGUUUUAUUUGUUUCUUAAUAUUUUGUAUAUCAUCAAGCUCUAGAGUUUUAUAGUCAUGUUAUUAAUGCCAAACACCAAGACAAUGUGUUGCAUUAGGAUCUGUCUAGUUACAUUAUUAACAUAUCAUAUUGACUGCAGCAUUUGCAUCCUCGGUUUUUUUGGUAGAAAGUGAGACCAAUAAAGUCCUUAUAAAUACAGCAUAGGUACUUUUAUACAAUUCUCGAUCAGUUGCCCUACAUCUCUGGAGCUGCACUUGCCAUCUAUCAAGUGGUCGCAAGAUCCUUCAUGACUAAUUCUUUGUCAAAGAAGUUUGACAUGAAUUUGCUAGCAUAAUGUACUCUAGUUAAUUUGUACUGUGAUAUCAUACCCCAUUUUUUUUUGUCUUAAUUGUUUAAUGCAACUUUUUUCUUAUUACCAUGGUAAAGAAGAAAACAUAAAUAUAAUAAAUUUCUUUUAAGAGAAUGCAAGUACUACUUUUCUAAGGUUUUAUGUUUAAGAAAUUAAUCUAAUUUACGUGGUUAAAAGAUUCUCUAUUUUUUAAUAGUUUAGAAGAAUUAUAUGUUUGAUAGUGGAUAAAUUAAAUAUUGUUUAAUACUUCCCUCUCAAUUCAAUGAUUCGUAAUGACGAAUUAGAUGAUAAAACUCAAGUAAUCAUAAAACUAAUUAAACCAAUUUUUUGCCAUCAAAUAUGACAAAAGGGUUCUGUUAAUUGUUAAUUUGUUAUUUAUUACACAUCUGUAAAAACGUCAUCACCAAGCUGUCCAAUGUUUUUUAGGUCUUUGGUUCGAAAACACAUGGUUACGUUCAUUAUUAUGGCUUUUUUUUAACCUUUUUGGUGAAAGGAGGAGGAGACAUUCACCGCACAAAAAGUUGAAAUUCAAAAUUAAAAUAAGGAUUCACUUUCCACGCGCAAGUAUGAAAAAAAAAAAAUCACCCAUUUGAUUAUUAUUAUUUACUUUUUUAUAGUUGUUUAUUGUUGUUAGUCUACCAUCAUCAGUUCAAUUCAUCAUCCUAUUUAACAAAGACAAAGCAUCAUCUAAAUUCUCAUUCAUAAGUACAUGUACUGCUGAAUCUUUUUGUUUUUAUUUUUGGCUUUCAGAUCCAUUAUAUGAGGUAUUUAGUUUUGACAUUUUACUUUUAUUAUUAUAGACUCCUUACUCAGAUGAUGGGUUUGCAUGUCUAGCUACUAGAACUGUUUGCUUGAUUCUUUGAAGUGUCUUCCUCUGCUGGGUCAAGCAUCAUUCACCACGUGCGACUUACAUCCUCCAGAAGUUCAAAACAAAUAAAAGAUAGAUCUUCGGAACUAUCAACAGAAAGAAAUUUAGAAAGCCCAUACCUAACUUUGGAGGCAAGACUGGAGGCUAACCUCUUCAUGGUCUGUGGACUUGGGGACUACUAUUCAGCUGAGAUUCUAUUUUAUUUUAUUUAUUUUGUAAGAAAAAGAAAAGAGGAAUAGUAGUUUAUUUAGUUGAGAGUUUUCGUUUUAUUUUUUAAAUAGCAGUUUAGUCGAUGAUGAUUGUUUUGUGUACUUCGUGCCCCGGCAUUCACUUCAGAAAAAGACGGGGCUAUCCUCUUACAUUAGAUUUAACUUUUUUUUACAAUGGCUAAAGCCUAAAAGAAUCCAACAUUUGCAAGCCUUCAGGACUAAAGAAUACAACAUACAAAUCAUCUUCCAAGAUACAAAUACUCUUCCAAUUCUGCUUCAACAGAUGUUCUUAGUUCUUAAUUUUUUAUUCAUAAUUAUUAUUACAGAUGGUUAUUUCUGUUAAGUUUUAUCACAAUAAUUUAAUUAAUAUUUUUUUUUUGUUCUUUUGUAAAGUGUAAUUAUUCAUCAUCAUCAAUUUGCGUUGCCUGAUUUGUGUAUAUUAUAUACUGUUGUUUUGUCUUGUGUAAUAAUAAUAAUAAAUAAAAAAUUAGUAAAUCGGCAAACAAAAAUUUGGAGAGCCCUUGUUAAACCUUAGAUUCAGGUCUUAUAUUUUUGUUUAUAUUAAAGUUGUUGAAAAUUGAGGAUAUUAUUAUAACUAUUGUCAUUAUUUUUAUUAAAUUCAUUUUAUUAUCUUAUUGUUAGAUACUGAUAUUGUUAUUUUGAAUAGCCCCCUCUAGAUAAAUUGUCUACUUCUGUCAUUAUUGUCACCGUCUGAUCCUUACAGCAACAAUUCAAGCCAAGUUUUGGAUUGAUUUUCGUGAUAAAAAGUUGUACGAAUGUUCGAAAAGAAUCUGGAUGAACAAAAGACAGAGUUCAUAAAAUGCUUGAAGCUAUUGGAAGAAGAGCUUGGAGAGAAACCAUAUUUUGAGGUGAAAAUAUGGAACCCGUAUAUGUGGUCAUUAUAACUGGUUAUAUGCCUAUUGAGAAAUGUCCAAAUUUGCCAUAUAGAAACAGAGUGAUCAAAGCUGAUUGAGGGGGAAAAAUAGGUGCAUGAAGCUUGAAAGUGGCUAAAUCUCUUUCUAACGAGUAGGCGGGAAAAUAUUUAUGGCUUGAUUUUGGCAGCAAAGAAGAAGAAGGGAUUAAAAUAUAAAUUUUAAUAUUUUUGUUCUUUCUUAGUGUGAUCUUCUUUUAUCAUGCUUUUGUUGUAGUUGUUUUGAUUAGCCUAGUCAAUUGUAAGGAUAUGCUUCAUGAAAAUUCAGUCAUUUUGAUGAUAUCUUGUGCAGAUUUUGAUGAUACUUAAGAUGAUUAGAAUUUAAGAGAUUUCACUAUAUUUUUUCUACGGUCCACUACUGUUUUGUUUAAUGUUACUUUGAUGAGGUAGAAUAACAUAUGACAACUUAGAUUGUUCGCAAAAAGAGAUCCAAUUUCUGUACAAUGUUAACAUCUUGUUAUUUUAUCCCAUUCCUUUGGGAGAAAAAAGUGUCGAAUUAAUGUUGUAACGUAUUGUGAAUUGCAGGGCAUUAUCGCUAAAAUCAUCGUAUCAAUUUGAUCCCUCUUGCUUGCAUGGCUUUAUUUCUCACUCUCAUUCAAAACGGACUUGGCCAAAAUUCCAUGAGUGUUACGGGUGGGCAUUCAAAUCCGGUUAAAUUGGAUUGAACCAAAUUUGAAAUUUAUUUCAAGUUUGGUUUAGUUGGGUUUAUCCCUUAAAAUCCAAACAGAUUCAAAUUUAAAAACCAAUCAAUUUUUAUUUCAGUUCAGGUUAAAUCAGAACCGAAUAAAAAAAUCGAACGAGUUUGCUUAGAAAAUAAAAAAAAAACAAAAAAUUAGGGGAAAAAAAAAGAGGAAGCAAUCACGCAAUCCCUAAAUCUAAUUAUCCUUCUCUUCAUCUUUACUAUGACAAUGAUGCAUUCAGACACAUAGUCACACACACCUAGCCUUAACCCUGCCUGAGCUAUCAAAUGCCCAUGCCACCACUAUCAAAUUCGUUCAACUGCACCGACGCUACUUCUAGUUGUUCCUUCAGCCGAUUUGCUUCUUUGUUCCCGCAAGCUUCAGCUAUUUUCAUCUUUUCCAUUCUUAAGCUGAUGCCCUUCCGCGUUCUAGCUUCUGUCAUCUCUGUUGUUACUGCCUUUGCGUUCGUUUGUCGUCAACCCCACACGAUAAUUUUAAAUUUACAUACGUUUUAUAGUAAUUUAAAAUGGUGCAUGAAUGGGACAAUUUUAUUGUAAUUCCAAAUUUGUAUAACGGUUGUUUGUAACUCAAUUAGGCAUGGCCAAAAGAACAUGUUGAGCAUGCUUGGUCGGUAAUUGAUAUUUGUUUUUCAAUUUUUUUGCAUCAAUGAUCUUGAGUAUUUGUGAAAAUAACUUGCGGGGUACCCCAGGUGCACCUGAAGAUGCCGCAAUUGUCUGGGAAGCUUUUUUGGCGUUCAACUUAUACUGGAAGGUCUUCAUGGGCUUUUUGUUUACGUUUGGUACCCUGGCUACUACGGGAAUAGCAAGAAGCAGUGGAGCGUUUCUCCCGAGAGCCGCCAGUUUAAAACUUUGAACGGGUGCCCAAUGGCUCGUGCUUUGGUCUACUUCCCUCCGGUAUUUCAGAUCUUGGUAUGAUUUGCUUCUCACCGCGUGGAGGCGGAACAUCUUGAGUUACCGGGGAAGUGGCUGCUUCGGGUACCCGAUAUCUGACUGCUCUGAGAAUCAGAUGAACUAAAUCCUCAAAGUGUUUAUGACUAACGGGCUCCUCGUCGGGUUGAAUACCAGUUGAUUGCUUAACAAAUUUGCCCUUCUCUAGGCGGGAUGCCCUCCUUGUCGAGUCACCCCUCUUAUCACUGCCGUGGUCCUCCGCUCUAUCAUGACUUAGCAUUUGGUUAUCAGCGGGUACGUCGGGUGCCAUGGUUGCGCAAGCACACAUACCGACAAGCUUAGCACUAUGUGGAGGCUUUUUGCGUGCUCCUCACAGACAACGCCAAUUGUUUGUGGCUGAUUUUGGGUUAACGAAAUAAAAUCACAAAACCAAGCCAAGAACAAUAAAUUUAUUUUUAUUGGGGAGCGGGGUGCCUCACUUGUUCGGCGCGUGCAGGUUGUUUAGGCUUUUUGUGGAGAGAAGGAGGAUUGAGAUGGCAGUGGAUAUGGAGGGUGUCUGACUUUAGGUGUAGAGGGCUGGUGAAACUCGCCUUAAACCUGCGAAACAACUAAAAAAGAAGUCAGAGGUGGAACCGGGGAUGGUCGGCGACUACGCUCCGACGCUCAAGUCAGAGUUGGGUUAUCUCUGGUUAGAGAGCUUGCAAGUCAGAGUUGGGUUAUUCGCCGAAUUCAGAAUGGUACGAGGCUUUACGAGAGGCCUUAGGGUGCAUUUCUAAGAGCCACAGCAUAGCCCCACCCAAAAAUACUGCCCUGAAGGUCGGGAAGCCAAAAGGCCCCAGGGGCUCCAAGACGGGUGGGCAUAGCCUUAGUGAGGGGCACGGGCGAAGUUCAUCCGCCGGACUUGGAAUGAGGCGAGGCUUUACGAGAGAUCUCGGUGUGCCCAUGGGGAGUCAAGGGCACAGCCGCGCCCAAAAAUAGUGCCCCAAGGUCGGGAUGCCAAAAAGGCCCCAGGGGCCCCAAAACGGGUGGGCUAUAGCCUUGGUGGGGGGUGCGGGCGAAGUUCGUCCGCCGGACUCGGAAUGGGGUGAGGCUUUGCGAGGGGCCUUGAUGUGCCCACGGGGAGUCGCGGUAAUAGCCGCGCCCAAAAAUAGCGCCCUAAGUUCGGAGUGCCAAAAAGGCUCCAGAGGCCUCGAGACGGGUGGGCUAUAGCCUUUGUGGGGAGCGCGGGUGAAGUUUGUCCGCCGGAUUUGGAAUUGGGCGAGACUUUGCGAGGGGCUUUGGUGUGCCUGCGGGAGUUGUGGGCACGACCGCGCUAAAAAUAAGCCUGAUUAUGAGUAGGGGUGAGCAAAAUACCCGACCUGACCUGACC
Molecule: long non-coding RNA, 15819 nt
Filed under: Citrus maxima (pomelo)
Lineage: Eukaryota; Viridiplantae; Streptophyta; Magnoliopsida; Sapindales; Rutaceae
Description: long non-coding RNA (CMAX_LNC001368)
Source: RNAcentral